AGGAUUUUGCCCUGGCCUUUGCACAGGAGACCUGGAAUAUUCUUCCUCCUCCAUCUAGAAUCUCCAGCUCCUUUCAAGGCUCUGCUCAGAAAUAAGAAAGACUUCCCGGAGACCUGUGGGACUGCUGACGAUCUCAUUUUCUUCAGAGGUGACACUUCCCAGACACGAAUUCAAAGUCCAGCUCUUUUGGCCAGUCGGACGUACUGGCGGUAAUCAGACUGUCCCGGGAAAAGGGGACAGCGCAAAACGGGACCCGAUUGGGAAUUUUCAAACUCAUCAAGGUAGUCACCAAGCCUAAAAAGAGUCAUGCAAGAUUGCAGUGGGAUCACGUGUGCUCAGAGAAGAUGACACAGAGCGAAGGAGCCAUCGAGAAACCUGAGGAGCAAUCUCAGGCCAGCCCAGACAAGCACAGGAACUCUGUCACAUGAGGAUAGCCUCCAGAGCUGCUGUUGUGGAGGGGGAGGCGGAGAAAGUUGACAGGCGUGCUGUCGGAAUCUCAAGUCACAUAUUUCAAAGAGGAAAGAACUAGAAUGAACCUAUUUUUUUUCCCUUUGAAAGCUUACUGAGUAGGUGGCCCUUCCUCUUCAGCAAUGGAUCAUCUUUGACACAACAUUCAGAGAUGGUGAAUCAGGAACCAAGAGCCUUUGGUCACGUGCAUGGAACCUGUCUGAAGGGACCAAGAUGUAAUUCGAUUCAAUUAAUUGAGCGUUUGGGCUCAUUUUUAUGGGCCUGGCAUUAGGGAGAUAGACCCAGAAAGAGUAUGGAAGGGGCAGCUAGGCAGUUCAGGGGGUAGUCCUGGAGUCAGGCGAACCUGAGUUCAGAAAUUGUUUCAGAGAUUUAAUAGUUAUGUGACCCUAGGCAAGUCACUUAAUUCUGAUUGGGAAGAAAGGGAAGGAGAGGAGAGGAGAGGAAGAAGUAAUGAAAGGAAGGCAUGAAAGGAAGAAAGAAAAGAAUGGCAGGCAGGCAGGAAGGAAGGAAGGAAGGAAGGAAGGAAGGAAGGAAGGAAGGAAGGAAGGAAGGAAGGAAGGAAGGAAGGAAGAACAUCCUCACAAGGACCCAGACUUAUCAUUUAUACAAAUGACUUGGCAAGGCAGUGUCAUGGUAC
Molecule: long non-coding RNA, 1105 nt
Organism: Antechinus flavipes (yellow-footed antechinus)
Lineage: Eukaryota; Metazoa; Chordata; Mammalia; Dasyuromorphia; Dasyuridae
Exons: 2
Source: RefSeq, a predicted model, not a curated record